RNAcentral lists this ribosomal RNA (459 nucleotides) under uncultured bacterium. RNAcentral's name for it is "partial 16S ribosomal RNA". It matches the Rfam family "Bacterial small subunit ribosomal RNA", at positions 338 to 795 of the family's 1533-position model. The record is from RNAcentral.
CCUACGGGAUGCUGCAGUGAGGAAUAUUGGUCAAUGGGCAGAAGCCUGAACCAGCCAAGUAGCGUGCGGGAUGAAGGCCCUACGGGUCGUAAACCGCUUUUGCACGGGGAUAACACCCUCCACUUGUGGAGGUCUGCAGGUACCGUGCGAAUAAGGGCCGGCUAAUUCCGUGCCAGCAGCCGCGGUAAUACGGAAGGCCCGAGCGUUAUCCGGAUUCAUUGGGCUUAAAGGGAGCGUAGGCGGGCGUUCAAGUCAGCUGUAAAAUCGCGCGGCUCAACCGCGCCCCGCAGUUGAAACUGGACGCAUUGAGUGCACAACAGGCAGGCGGAAUUCGUGGUGUAGCGGUGAAAUGCAUAGAUAUCACGAGGAACCCCGAUUGCGAAGGCAGCCUGCCGGGGUGCGACUGACGCUGAGGCUCGAAGGUGCGGGUAUCAAACAGGAUUAGAUACCCCUGUAGUC